AGCACUCCACAGAGCCUGAUUGAGCUAUCUUUAUGGCCAUUGAAAUGAAUUGUUCUCAUCCUCCCAUUCUGCCAGGGGAAGUCUUCACAUACUUGGGGUAGACAUGCCCUAGCAGGCCAACAGGUACCAGCACCAUAUUUGUAUCAUAAAAAGAAUUUGUUCCUCUUGAGGAUAAAUGUUAAGAGAGAGUUGAAAAGGAGAGGGACUAUGUGCACAUAGCAGCAUGGUGUGGAGUUGGCCGGGAAGUAAUGAGGAAGAGAAGAUGGAAGUUCACCUAUCGGAGC
This is a non-coding RNA of Phascolarctos cinereus (koala), 284 nucleotides long. The record is from RefSeq and is a predicted model, not a curated record. NCBI's taxonomy places the organism in Eukaryota, Metazoa, Chordata, Mammalia, Diprotodontia, Phascolarctidae.